CAAUAGCGUAUAUUAUUGAUGUUGCAGUUGAAACGUUCGUAGUCGAACUUUAUCUGCUCAGGUAUUGUAACGUCGCUGACGUUUCAAUAAAUUCAGCAGAGACAGUGUAAAAGUCAUUGCACACGUUUCGUGUGUUAAUGAGUUUUGCAUCUUACUUUGAGUGAAUCGGCGUGUUCCACGCAGGCAUGUGCCUUGAACGAUUUACCAUAGUCUAACUAAAGUAUGAAAAUGCUUCUUUGUUUGUUCAGAAGUAUUUUCGAUACAAAUAAGAACGGUUGAGGGCAUUCGUAUUCAGCUGCCAGAGGUGAAAUUCUUUGAUUAGUUGAGGACGAACUAUUGCGAAANCANNNGCCAAGGACGUUUCUUUNGA
RNAcentral lists this ribosomal RNA (370 nucleotides) under uncultured eukaryote. RNAcentral's name for it is "partial 18S ribosomal RNA". It matches the Rfam family "Eukaryotic small subunit ribosomal RNA", at positions 592 to 976 of the family's 1831-position model. The record is from RNAcentral.